UCACAGAAACCCUGGCUGCCAGGGCUGGGGGGUGGGAAUAGGGAAUGACUGCUCAACAGUCAGGAGCCUCUUUUGGGGUAACAAAAAUGUUCCUGAAUUAGACAAUAGCAAUGGAUUCACCAUCAACUCAGUUCCAGUGAAGGUUCUAAGGACACAGACCACACAGCCUUGCCUUAGCCUGUCCAGUGAGAGUGACCCUCAGGACCAGUGCAAGGAAUGCUGGGACAAAGGUGCUUUAUUUCCUAUAGGCAGGAAUGUAACAGUGCAUGCUGUCCAAAGCUGUGGAAGCCAUCCCUGAACCCAGAAGCAAUGCAGCCUUGAGAUGAAGCCACCUAUAAGGAAAGUAGAUUGGAGUCCUUAGAGACAAGGAGUCACUGGAUCAAGCCUCACCUGAAAUCACCCACCCUUUCAAUUUUGUGAACUACUAAAGUCCCUUUAAUGUUUAAGAUAGUUAAA
Suricata suricatta (meerkat) is the source of this 456-nucleotide long non-coding RNA. RefSeq lists it as uncharacterized. NCBI's taxonomy places the organism in Eukaryota, Metazoa, Chordata, Mammalia, Carnivora, Herpestidae. The record is from RefSeq and is a predicted model, not a curated record. The transcript is spliced from 2 exons.